RNAcentral lists this non-coding RNA (114 nucleotides) under Aminomonas paucivorans. RNAcentral describes it as "Glycine sequence". It matches the Rfam family "Glycine riboswitch aptamer". Rfam says of the family: This family represents the bacterial glycine riboswitch. Glycine riboswitches usually consist of two metabolite-binding aptamers domains with similar structures in tandem. The aptamers cooperatively bind glycine to regulate the expression of downstream genes. The record is from RNAcentral. RNAcentral also lists the same sequence under 1 other name. Lineage: Bacteria; Thermotogati; Synergistota; Synergistia; Synergistales; Synergistaceae.
UUGAAAGCCGCAAGAGAGACCCUAUUGCCCAUGUGAAGACAAGGGCAAGGGGGCGCCGAAGGGGCAAGGUCCGCGAGGCCCGAAUCUCUCAGGCGAAAGGAUUGCGGCAGGACG